AUAGCUAAUUCACAUAAAGAUGUUGGUACAAUGUACUUAAUGUUGGGAAUGUGGUCUGGGUUCGGUGGGUUAAAUCUUAGUUGGAUAAUGCGGUUGGAGUUAAGGCGUCCGGGGAUGUGGCUUCCUAGCUCUGAGGUGUAUAACGGAAUUGUUACACUUCACGCUAUUAUAAUAAUUUUCUUUUUUGUAAUGCCUGUUUUAAUUGGUGGGUUUGGUAAUUGGCUCUUGCCUAUGAUGUUGGGUGCCAUUGAUAUGAGGUUCCCGCGGCUGAAUACUUUUAGUUUUUGGGUGCUGCCUCCUGCCCUUUACUUAGUGAUUGUUUCUUGUUUUAUUGAUUAUGGAAGGGGGACGGGGUGGACUAUGUACCCUCCGUUAUCUAGCACUCCUUAUUCGGGGGGCAUAAGAACAGAUUUGAUAAUCUUGGGUCUUCAUUUGGCGGGGAUUAGGUCAUCUGCCGCUUCAAUUAACUAUUUAGUUACUUUCUUAAAUGUUCGAAGAAAGACAUUUAAAGCUGAGUAUUGCCCCCCUUUCGUUUGGGCGCUUUCUGUUACGAGGUUCUUACUGUUGGUUUCCCUUCCAGUUUUAGCUGGGGGGCUAACUAUGCUGAUCAUGGACCGUCAUUUCAAUUGCAGGUUUUUUGACCCUUCUGGAGGGGGUGAUCCAGUUUUGUUUCAACACCUUUUUUGGUUCUUUGGCCAUCCAGAGGUUUAUGUUCUGAUCUUGCCUGGGUUUGGAUUGGUUUCUCAUGUGUUAGUAUUUUAUACUAAGAAGCUACGAGUUUUUGGUUCGGUGGCGAUGAUGUAUGCUAUGAUUUCUAUUGGUGUUUUAGGCUUUAUUGUAUGGGGGCACCAUAUGUAUACUGUAGGACUAGAUGUAGAUACGCGAUUCUACUUCACAGCGGUUACUAUGUUGAUUGCUGUGCCUACUGGGGUUAAAGUCUUCAGGUGGAUCGCUACUAUUUACGGCUCUCACUUGAGGUUUGAAGCUCCUGUGCUUUGGGUCUUGGGCUUUAUUGUAAAGUUUACUAUGGGGGGAAUUACGGGGGUUAUUCUGUCAAAUGCGUGUCUUGAUGUGGCUUUACACGACACCUAUUAUGUAGUAGCCCAUUUCCAUUAUGUUCUAUCUAUGGGGGCUGUUUUUACUAUUUUUGCUGGGUAUGUUCAUUACUUCCCCUUGUUUACUGGAAACUGCCUUCACCGUUCUUGGGCGCGUGGUCAUUUCUUUUUAACUUUUGUGGGGGUAAACCUAACUUUCUUUCCUCAGCAUUUUCUGGGACUAGGAGGGAUGCCACGUCGUAUUCCCGACUAUCCUAUUUUCUACUACUACUGGAAUCAGUGGAGGACAAUUGGUUGUGCUAUGGUAAUGGUUAGGGUAUCUCUAUUUAUUUUCAUGCAAUGGGAAGCAUUUUUUAGUGGUCGACGUCCUUUGUUGGUUGGCAAUCGUCCAAGGUCUCUAGAGUGGGUGGUUAAUCGAGGUUUUUCUUGUGUUGCUCGUCAUACAUUCACUGAGGUUAUGGCCUUGCGAAUUAUGCAUGAUGCUACUGCUUUUCGGAAAGAAAGCUUGGCUCAGCUAAACGAAGAGAAGGUAAGCCAUACUAGGUAACCUUGGAUAGUUUAAUAAAACGUAGUGUUGAAGCCGCUGAGUUGGGCUUCGCCCUCCGGGGGCGCAGGUCCAGGUGCGGAAAGAAUGGUUUGAACCUAUUCUUAGGGGGCGCAGCAACCUCCCUUGCGUUCGUGCCAAGGUAGUAUAAGUAGUGCGCCUGUUUUUCGUGCGGGUGGAGGCUUGGUGGCCUCUUGGUUGGUGCCUCAUUUUGAGCCGAUGCUUUGGUCAGUUUGGUUUGUAAUUAUUUUGGUUAGUGGACUUUCUUUUUUUUGUGCUUUGUGGUGGGUACACGUUCCACGGACUACUGUUGGAGUAGUUAAAAAGCUAAGAUCUCCUGCUAGCAAAUGGUAGAAGUAGUGGUGGUUUGGUUUUUAAUAUGGGUAGUAGUAAUAACCUUGAUUUUCGGGGCAGCCUCGCUGGUUAACCCCCAAGCUGUAGGAGCUGCGUGUUUACUUCUGGUUUUGUUAAGGUGCCUAAUUUUUGGUUACAGGGGGCCUGUGUGGCUAAGGCACUUUAUUUUUUUAGCGUUUUUAGGGGGACUAAUAGUUGUCUUUCUAUAUGCUGUUUCGCUGGCGCCCAGGCCAUUUUUCAAAGGUGUUGUGGGGCAAGUUAAAACGCCACUCAAGAUGUUAGGCGCAGCUUUUUUUUUCUUUUUUUUCCUUUGUUUUUAUGAAGGGUGAUUUAGGGCUGGGAGUGUGCUUUUAGGCGGAUUAAUUGAGAGUCCUUCUUUGAGUGGCGGGGAGAUGGUGGAUAGAAGGUGGGUUAGAAGACUCUCUUUUGUUUUCUUGGCCUUGGUCUUAGCUAUUUGCAUGGUAUCAGUAACUAAGCUUUGUAGCUAUAACAGAGGUGGCUCUUUGCGAGGAAUGCGGAGUAAGAUGGAUUAGUAGGGGUGGCAGAAUUUAUGUGUUCGUUUUAAGCUCGAAAGAUGAGCUUCGGCUCCCCUUACUGUUGACUAAAAAUAUUUCUAUUGGUUCGGGUGCUAUUUACCCAGUAGUUAAAGGUACGUUUUACGACUUACCUUGCCCGGCUAACUUAAGGGUUUGGUGGGGGUUGGGGUCUUUGUUGGGCGUGUGUGUAGCAGGCCAGGUAUUGACUGGCUGGUUUCUAUCAUUUUACUACACCGCUCAUGAGGACUUGGCUUAUAGGAGGGUCAUCUUCAUUAUGAAAGAAGUUAAUUUUGGGUGGUUAAUGCGCAGGUUCCAUAUCAAUGUUGCUAAUUUUAUGUUUGUGUGUCUCUACUUCCACGUUGGUCGGGGGAUUUAUUAUGGGUCCUUUCGGAUGUACAAAGUAUGGGCCACAGGUGUGGUUUUACUUCUAUUAGUAAUGCUUACUGCCUUUACCGGCUAUGUUCUGCCCUGGAGUCAAAUAGCGUAUUGGGCUGCUCAGGUGAUUAGCAGAAUGGUGACAGCUGUUCCUGUUUUUGGGGGGGAUAUUGCUAUGUGGGUCUGGGGGGGUUAUGCUGUUGGCAACAUUACUCUUAAGCGUUUGUUUAGGAUUCACUUUCUUCUUCCCUUCGUAAUUCUUGGGUUGUUCUUUCUACACCUGAUCUUUCUUCAUGUGACGGGGUCAGGAAACCCUCUUGGGUUGGACAGAGAGUGCAACUUAGUGCGUUUUCAUAGGUUCUUUACUGUUAAAGAUCUCGUGGGGGUUAGGGGAGGUCUUCUUAUUGUUGUUUUUAUAAUUAGUUUCUAUCCCUACAGCCUUUUAGAUGGAGGUAGGUUUAUUGCUUGUGAUUAUAUAGAAACACCUGCUAGGAUCCACCCUGAGUGGUACUUUUUAUUUGCUUAUGCUAUUUUACGUUCCGUACCUAACAAGAUUGGCGGAAUUGUAUUAUUGUUGCUUUCUAUUUUAGUUCUGUUUGUCCUACCAGAGAUUUGGUGUGGUAAGAUAGAAGGUUUUUGUUUCUAUCCUGGCUGUCAGUUUCUAUUCUGGACUUGGAUUUUUAACUUUAUCAUCUUAACCUACGUAGGAAGCCAAGGUGUGGACCAGCCGUUUGUAAUGGCUGGGGAGUGGGGGACUAUUUACUAUUUCCUCUUUUUUCCUUUAGUUGGGAUUAUGCAGCACUUGGAGGAUACUUUUAGAAAGAAGAGGCAGUACGCGUCUUAGGUGCUAGAGUGGAGCCAAACUAGGUUGCCUGAGCCGGCUUCCGUACAAGCUUUCAACCUUCAAAUUGUCUAUGAAGGUUGCUUGGUUGUUGCUGUUUUUAUUUCUUUUGUUGUUCUUUUUUUCAUGCGAAUAGUAGUGUUUAACACAGCUACGUGCAGAGUUUACUUAGAGUGCGGACGUCUCGAAGUUUUUUGGUCAGUGCUGCCAUUUAUCUUUUUAGUCUGUAUUUGUUCUAUCUCUGUCUUUGCCCUUUAUGUCAAUGAUGAGACCAACGAGGAUCCUUUAGUUGAUGUAGUAGUAGUUGGGCAUCAAUGGUAUUGGAGGUAUCAGGUUGGGGUUGAUGGAGGCCCAGAGGUAUUUAAGUGGGAUUCUCGAAUUGUAAGUCGAAGGGUUGAUAGUCCUAUGGACUUUCAGGAUUAUUGGACUGUUGAUCGUCCUUUGCCUGUUCCAGUUGGAGGGGUUACUCGGGUUUUAGUUACUAGGGAGGAUGUGCUCCAUAGAUGGGGUGCUCCUCGUUUGCAUUUAAAGAUUGAUGCGAUUCCUGGACGCUUAACGCGGGGCUUAUUUGAGCUGAAGCUUCCCGGAGUAAUUAAGGGAAUGUGUGUAGAGCUUUGCGGUGCAUAUCAUUCGAUGAUGCCCACUAUUAUUGAGGGUUUGGGAGAGGCUGAUUUUUGGCAAUGGGCUAGGCGGUCUUCUUAGAAGGUGUCUUUUUUCUUGGAGUCUAGGCAGCUAGUGGGAAUUAGCGGCCUAAGAGUAAUAAGUGUAUUUUCUUUUUCUAUGUUUUUGGGAGGUUGGUUAGCUUUCGGGGCCCAAUUUAAGCAUAUUCUUUCUGCCCUUUUAUGCGUUGAGGUGGUUUUGGUGGGAGUUUUAGGUGGGAUCUGUGCUAGGGUACCAGUAUCUUCUGGCUAUCUUUUUUUUUACGUUCUAGGGUUAGGCGUGUGCGAGUCGGCUCUUGGGCUUUCCUUAUUGGUGGUCUAUGCUCGUAAGCACGGAGGGGACAUAUUCAAAGGGCUGGAUUCUACUAGCGGGUAGUGAAACGUUGUCCCUUUCAUCGCGUUGACCAGAGUCCUUGGCCUUUAUUAACAGCAUGAAGGCUGGGGAUUUCUGCAAUAAUGUUUGUGCAGUUCUUACACGGGGACCCAUUCUAUCGUGUUCUAGUAGGACUGGGGUUGGUAGUAACUUGUGUUUAUUGGUGGUUUUCUGAUAUUAUCUCGGAGGCAACUUUUAUGGGGAAGCAUACUCGCCGUGUGCAGCGAGGAAUUCGAAUCGGCUUCUGUAUGUUUUUAAUCAGGGAGACAAUAUUUUUUGCUUCUUUUUUUUGGGCAUUCUUUCAUAGAGCUUUAGCCCCAGGAGUAGCUUUAGGGUUUUUUUGGCCCCAGGAGGUUUACACUAUGCCGUGCUGGGGAUUGCCCUUACUUAAUACUAGGCUUCUUCUAAGAACGGUCUUUCCUUGUAAUAUGGCUCAGGCGGCCAUCAAAGCUGGCGAGCUGAAGAUUGCUUUAAACACGUUAGGGUUGGUAAUAAUCUUAGGCGGAUGUUUUGUGCUGGUUCAAGGCUACGAAAUUUUUACGGCUAAGUUUACCCUUGCUGAUGGGGUUUAUGGGUGCUGCUUUUUCUCUUUGACCGGCCUUCACGGGUUGCAUGUAGUGGGAGGCUUGUUCUUUCUCUUUAUCGCUUGGAGACGAGCUCGAUUAGGCCAUUUCUCCAGGUCUCGUCAUUUGAAUUUAACUUUCUCAAUUUGGUAUUGGCACUUUGUUGACAUCAUUUGAAUUUUUGUAUUUUCUUUUAUCUAUGUUUGGAGCAAUCUAGGAUGGCAGUGGACUUUUAGUGAUGUGUUCUCAUCUUUGCCGUUUUAGAGUUGGUGGAUAUAUUUUGGCUAGUCUUAUUAAUUUGUACAGUGAUUGUAGCGGCUUUGGGAGGACUUAGUCAUUGGCUGUCCCAUCUGUGGGUGCGGGAUUCCCAAAAGGCUUCUCCCUACGAAUGUGGUUUUGAUCCAUUUUCUUCUUCUCGGUCUCCUUUUUCCGUUCGGUUUUACAUGGUGGCUAUUUUGUUCCUAGUCUUUGAGGUUGAAUCUUUAUUGUUUUUUUCAGCUCUCCAUGCCUAUUGUGUGGGUGUGGAAGAUGUGGGCAUGUACAGAUGAGGGUUUUUAGUUCUUCUUGUAUUAGGCUUAGCCUAUGAGCUAUUUCGAGGGGCCUUAGAAUGGUCUAAGGAUUAGGCGGGAAGUUGACUUAGCAUUGACUUCUAAUCUGUUGCUAGAGAGGGUAUCGAACUUUCUCCCGUCUAGGGCGUUAGUCUAAUUUGGACGCCCCGCUGUUAACGGGGAGGUGGGAGUUGUCUCACGUCCUGCAUGUUGGCAAUUUUGCUUAGGUUGCUUCCUUUUUCAGGUAUGAUGGGCUGCUGGCAGUUCUUUUUAGUCUGUUUCUUGUCUUCUCCUUUUAUUUUAUUUCGAGGUUCUCUAGAAGGCCACGUGUUAAGGAGAAUCUUUAUAGUUGAUGAGUGAAGCGGUUCACUUAUUUUUCUGAGGUUUUGGUUGGGGGCUUUAAUGAUGAUGGCUGCAAAGCCGCGGAUUAGGGGCCUCUGUGUAUGAGGCGUAGUUAUUUGCUGCUUUUUAGCAUUUUCUUGUUGAAGGUUUGUCUGGUUUUAUGUCUUCUUUGAACUGACUCUAGUGCCGAUGGCCUAUAUAAUUGUAAAGUGGGGGAGACAGCCAGAGCGGGUAUCCGCUACAUUCUACAUAUUUUUAUAUACUUUAAGAGGGUCUUUGCCUUUUCUAAUUUUUCUUGUCAGAUACUACUACAGAAGGUAUUCUUCUUUUAUAGGGUUCAGAUGAGAUGUGGCUAGAAGAAUGGGGGUGUGGGGCUGUGCUGUUGUAGUGGUUUUUUUUGUUAAAAUUCCCUGCUAUCCCUUCCAUUUGUGGUUAACUAAGGCGCAUGUUGAGGCUCCCACUGCUGGUUCUAUGGCUUUAGCUGGGCUGUUGUUGAAGUUAGGAGGGUUUGGUCUUAUGCGAGCUAUAGGCUGCUUUGGUCAGUUGAGGUUCUCUUUGCAAGUUUUUUGGGCUAAUGUUGGUAUUUGGGGGGGUGUAUUAAGAUCUGUUGCAUGCCUACGUCAGAUUGAUAGAAAGUCUCUAGUGGCUUAUUCUUCUGUUGGGCACAUAAGCUUAGUUCAGUUAGCAAUUCUUAGGGGAACAAUUGUAGGAUGGGUGGGCGCCCUUUAUAUAAUAAUUGCCCACGGGCUAAGGUUUUUUGGGCUAUUCAGGGUCCUUGGAGAAUUUUACGGAAAAGUAAAGAGGCGUAGGCUUGUAGUUUAUGGGGGGCUUGAAAUGGUUUAUCCAGGCAGAAAUUUGUGAUGGUGCCUUUUGAUUGUGUGCUCAAUAAGAUGCCCUCCUAGGCUAGGGUUCUUAGGAGAGGUGAUAAUAGGAAUGAGAAUUUGUAGGAUCUUUCCUUUUGGCUAUGUGCUCUGUUUUAUCUUACUUUUUUUCUUUGGAGGGGCCAGAAUAAUGGUGUUGUACACCAGAGUGAUGCAUGGCAGAUUUUCAACUGCUCUUAUUCCAAGGGGGGUGGGGAUUUCGAAAUGUAGUUAUCUUGGAAUAUUUCAUGGUGUGCCGUUAAUUAUUUUGUUUUUUUUACCUGCAUUCUUGUCUUUGCGGGCUCUUAGGGGCGUUCUUUAAAGAAGUAGAGCGAAAGCUCGCGCAUUGUUGAUAGAGUAGGAGAGAAGGAAGUAGAAAACCGGAUUAAGCUGGUGGCGGGGAGCGAUGAGAUCGUUCAAGACCCGGGACAAGGCUAAGAAAAAAGGUCCCCCGAUCGUAACUAGGGUGCAAUGCGUUCGACUACACAUUCUGUCAUUUCCUAGGAGGCCGAACCCUAGCCUAAUUCGUGGCUUUUCCUAUGGGAGCAUGUCUUAGGUCUCUCUCAAAAGAGAAGAGAAGGAAGUAGAAACCGAGUUUGAUAGAAGUCAGAAUGAAGAUGGUCUGUACCGGGGCAUGGCCAAAGAGACAAAAGCCUCCCGUUUGCAGCUCAAGGUUCGAUUGUUCGACCGCGCGCCUCCGUCGUUUUAAGUAAGGCCGAACCCUACCCCGAAAAUCAUACCCUUAUUAAGGGGAAUUAUCAAAAUUUUUGAAAUUUAUACUUUUUUUUUAUAUUACAAGUGGCCUUUUUUUUAUAAAAUUUUACUUAAAACUCUUUUAAUAUGCCUAAAGUUUAGAAAUUUUUGGCGUCUAACUCACCCCCCUUUUUUUUGGCCUCAAAAAGGACCAAAAAAAGGCCAAAAAUGGCCAAAAACUGCCAAAAAACCAUCACCUAAAAAAUAAAAUCUUAAACUUUUAUGGUUUUUUAAAAAAUUCUGGAAAAUGAAAACCUUCUCUACUUUUGCGAUUAAUUACUUGAAAGUUAGUGAACUUUUUUAAAAAAAGUUUUUUAUUUUUUUUGUUUUUUUUUUCCAUUUUUUUAUGAUUUGACCGAAGUUCGUUGAAAUUUUAGUAGUAAAACAGGAAUUUAGUCGUAGCCCCUUUUCUUUUUUUUCCUUUUUUUUUUUUUCUUUUUUUCUUGAGGUCCUUGAAAUUUACUUACAAAGGUAAAAAGCGUAUAACCAAAAAAAGUUGGACUUUUUCGAGGUUUUUGGGGUUGGUUUUUUGUUUUUAUUUUUUACGGUAUUUUGUAUAAAAAAGAGCUUCAUGGCGAAAAGGCAGUUUUCUUCGUAAUCUUCAUAAAUUAUUAAAGGUUUUUUACAAAAUUUUAAAAGAAUUUUUUUGUAAAAUAGCGUUUUCUAAUAUUUUUUUUUUUUGGAAUAAGGGGGGGGAAUCGGAAGAUUUCUCCCCCCCCCCCCCCCCCAAAAAAAAAAAAAUUUUUUUUUAGGAAAGAGGGGGGGGGGGGGGGGGUAAGUUGAGAAUUCGUAAUUUCAGAUUUUCGUGGAGAUUGGUGGUGAUUAGGAUCAUUCUUAGAUUAUCUAGGCCCACUUGGUUUGGCGCUUGGGUAGGAAUGGAAAUAAACUUGUUUGGUGCUGUGGCACUAAUGGUUGGGAGCACCAAGCUGUCGGUCGACUCUGUGUUUAAAUACUUUUUUGCUCAGAGCUUUGGUUCUAGGGUUAUUAUUAUAGGUUUAGUUAUAGGGGGGUGGGUAGGUUUAGGGCCUGUGAUAGCAUGUUUGGUGCUGGGGUUAAUGGUUAAGGUUGGUGCUGCCCCUUUUCACUUUUGGGUUGUGGAGGUUCUUAAAGGUAUUCGUGUGGAGUGCAUGUGGUUUCUUCUAACGGUUCAAAAACUGGUUCCUUUGAUGCUGGUGACCCAAGUUGGUCAGGGAAGAUGGGCUCUAUUUGUUUGUAGGGGGCUGAGUGUUUUAGUUGGUUCUAUUAGAGGCGUUGGUGCUACUAGACUUUCUCGCUUAGUUGGUUACUCUUCUAUUGCCCAUACUGGCUGGAGUCUGGCUGCUUGUAUUAGAGGAAUAAGAGUUCUUUGGUUUUAUCUUUUGGCGUAUUGGAUUUCUUUGACAGGGUUUCUUCGGUUUAGCAAGGGAGAUUGGCGCCUUUCUUCUUGAGGAGGGGAAGGCUUAGCUAGUUGUUUCUUCUUGUUUUCUUUGGGGGGGUUCCCCCCUUUUUUAGGGUUUUUCGGCAAACUUGCGGUUAUAGUGGCCGUAGUUGGGGCUUGCCCUCUACUUCUUAUUCCUUUAGCCGUCGGGUCCGUUGUUAGUUGGGGAUAUUAUCUUUUUGUCGUGAGAUUUUCAGUGAUUCAAAGCAGCCUGGUGACUACGUCUUCUAGCCGCCUAUUAGUGCCGAUGUUGGUAAUAAGUGUUCCUUACUUGAUGGGUAUGCACUUGGUGCUGUAGAUUGAGAAGUGGUGAAAACAUCACGGGUAGUUGUCAUUUAUCAGUUGCGACUAGUCGCCUUCUCAUCAGUGUUGAGCCGGGACUUAGCGGGUUACUUUGAUGUGGUAACGUUCGAGAGUUUGGAUCUCUCCAGCACUUGGCUUCUGUGGUGUAAUGCAUGAAGGGUUGUGGUCUCUUUGGUGAACGUUUGGUUCCAGGGGUCCGUCGGGAGCUAGGUUAAUUUAAACUCUGAGUUUCCAAAACUCAAAAUGGUGGAAGUCCGCCGCUUCUGCGAGAAGAAGUAUAUUAGUACAUUGGGUUUGGGACUCAAAGGUCUCCUAAGGGGGUUUCUCGUGUGUUGGUGGGGCGUUAUUGUCGCAGAUUUUGUCGGUUCAUGUCCUUUUUUAGGUUUCUAGGUGCGCUUUCUUUGGGGGGAGAUAGGGUUGUUUUUAGGUGGGAGGUCGUGCGUUUUAGGUCCUUGAGCCUAAGGAUUGACUUUUAUUUGGAUGCUGUCGGGUUGGUUUUUAGGGGUGUGGUGCUUUAUAUUGCUAAAAGGGUUUUUCACUUUAGGGAUGCUUAUAUGGGGUCUUCGGUCCACCCUAUUCGGUUUCACAGGCUUUUAAUAUGUUUUGUUAUCUCUAUAAUCCUUUUCAUUUUCAUUCCUAACUUAUUCGGGCUUAUAAUUGGUUGGGACGGUUUAGGUAUCUUCUCCUUUUUAUUGGUUCUGUUCUAUCCGUGUCAUAGUUCUUUGAGUGCGGGGCUAAUUACUGGCCUAACUAACCGGCUUGGAGAUAGGUUCUUGAUUUUGGCGUUAUUCUUUAGGCUUUUAGUAUGGGGAAGAAGAAGGUUAGGCGCAGGUUUUUUAGGGGUAGCUAGGUUUAGGCUAGUUAUUGGAGGAAUGACUAAGAGAGCCCAGUUUCCGUUUUGUAGUUGGUUGCCUCGGGCUAUAGCCGCUCCUACUCCGGUUUCCUCUUUGGUUCAUUCCUCUACCUUAGUCACCGCCGGAGUCUUUUUAAUAGUUCGUUACCAUGAUAGGCUUAGAGGAAGAUCUCUGUCUCUUCUUCAGUGGGCCUCCUUGAUAACUAUGCUUAUUAGGGGCCUCAAUGCAUGUGUUGAAUACGAUAUAAAGAAGGUUGUAGCUUUAUCUACUUUGUCUCAGGUUUCUUUUAUAAUAUUUGCAGUAAGAAUAGGGUUCCCCCUUCUAGGCUUUUUUCACCUAAUUAGGCAUGCUGUUACUAAGGCGUUAUUAUUUAUUUGCGUGGGCUUGGUUAUUUUAAGGUAUAGGCAAGAUCUUCGUCGUUUAGGGGCUAGGUUUUUAGGGGCUGAGGGUAUUAAAUGGUAUUUUGGAGGUGCUUGCAUUGGUUUGUGCGGUUUUCCCUUUAUUAGGGGGUUUUACUCUAAAGAUGCAGUCAUCGAAUCUAUUUUUUUUAGGGGGGUUGGUUACUGUGGCUUUUUUAUUUUUUUUGUAAGAGUUUUGACUACCAGCUAUUAUAGGGCCCGUCUUUUCUUUUUUUGUUUUCUGUCGGGGUUGCUUGGAAGGGGGAAAGGGGGGGUUGGUUCUUUUCGUUAUGGAGGGUGUUCUGGUGCUUAUGACGUUCAUUGUUAUUGUUGGGGCCUUUUUUUACUGAGUGUUGGGUUAGGGGGAGUAAGGUUGUGGUUUUUUUAUGUAAUGCCCUGCAUGUUUCCUUGUCAUGUUAGAAAAGCACUAAUCCUUUCUAUUUGCCCCUUUGGGUUUUGGGCUUUUUGGCUCUUGGGAGGACAUAAGGAUGGUUUGGGGGUUCGUGAUGCUUUGGUGGUUGGGCGCAGGGGAUGGUCAUCAGGUCGAGAAAGGUUUGUUCGAGAGUUAGGGUUCUUAGAUGGGCUUAGGGGUCAGCCGCUGGUUUAUAGUGGAAUAGUUCUUUCGGAGGGGGUUAAUGCCUCUAUAGACCAGGGAUUGCUGGAAACUUAUGGUCCGGGGGGGGUUGCUCGUGCUUUUAAAUCUUUGCUUAACUAUAAUGAAACCAUGUGCAAUCACUGGCUUGCGCUUUUCUUUCUAGUGUACAUAGUGGAGGUUGUCUUCUGGAUUGGUAUUUCUUAGGUGGCUCUUGUUUUGAGGACUUAUUUUGAUCAGUUUGAUUGGAGGCUUAGGUUGGGCGGGGUCUUUUGUUUUCUCUUGCCGUAUUUUAUUGUUUACUCCUUUCUAAGUCCGGUGUUUUUGAGGAUGGGCAGGCUAGAGCUUGUUUUUAGAUGGUUCGUUCUUACUCUAGCUAAGUUCUUUAGCGAGCACGAAUGGACUAAGAAGGCCGGUAGAGCCCAUUUUUUGACUUUUAUUUCUGUCCUUUUGUUGAGUGUAAAUCUGGUUGGUAUGCUUCCUUUUAUUAAAGGAGUGAGGGUUAUACCUGUUUUUACGCUAAUUACGGGGCUUUCGUUGUGGAGUUUGGGCAGGUUGGCUACUGUUUGAGGCAUUGGUAAGUUUGCUAAGGGUGUUUGGGUUAAAGGGGCUCCUUUAGGCUUGAACUUGUUCGUCGUCUGUGCCGAACUUCUUAGGUGGACUAUUCGUCCUUUUAUCUUAGGAAUUCGACUUCUUGUUAACGUCUCUUGCGGUCAUAUUAUUUUGGCUCUUUUGGGGGAGUUAGUGAGCUUCUUUGCUUGGGAGGGUAAAGUGGUUGGGCUAAUUGCAACUGCUGCUGUUGGUUUUUGUAUUGGCGUUUUGGAGUGAAUUGUUAUGCUAGUUCAGGUUUUCGUUUUCGUGAGAAUUAUUGCUUGGUCUUGAGGGGAGGGAAGAAAGGGGCCUUACACAGUGUUUUGUCGCGCUAGGUGGACUUUGAUGCCUAAUAGUCGCCCUUAAAAUUUUGGGUCUCGUAGUUGAAUGACAAUAAUGAGUUGCAGCCUCGUAGGUGGGUACGUCCCUGAGAUCUAAUUUAGUGGGUGGCUGAAGAUAGGUGAAGGGCUGUAAACCUUUUUAUGGAAUUAAUUCCUCCACUAUCAUCUUUAGUUUAUCUAGAAUGGCGGUCUUGUAAAUCGCAGGGGCAGGCAAUUCUGCAGGGUGAUUGCUUCUUGGUGUAAUAAACACUUCUAAUUUGCACUUAGAGAAUGGGAAAUUUCCCAGAAGCAACGGGUUGGCAGAUAGAUGUGCUUGACUUAGGAUCAAGAGAGGGAGUUUUAGCUCCACCUGUUAAGCAAGUAGUAUAUUUUUAGUACACCGGGCUCAUGCCCCGAUGGAGGGAAAUUUUUUCCCCUGGCUUAAUGCUCAUUUCUGGUGUAAAAAGCAUGCGCGCCUUCCAAGUGUGAGGUCUUCUUGGGGAAGGGAGUGGGGCUGAUAGCUUAAUGAGAGUGUUGAACUUUUAAUUCAAAGGUAGGUUAAGAGCCUUCAGCCUAAAUGUUAGUUUGGUUCUGGUUACCUAGUUUAGUUAACACCUGGUCAAUUAACACAUGGUAGUAAAGGCGUAGAAUGAGUGAGGUGAAAGGCUUGGGAAAGAAGCGGUAGCUUCUUUUUUGAGCCAUCCGCGUAUACAAUCAGAGAAUUUCGAUGACUGUCAAUAGAAUUCAUACCUCCAGUGGAUAGACUUUAACUAUAAGCGAAAGCUUGAUUAAGUCAUGGUGUGUAAGAGGAGUCCAACCAGGUGCCAGCAGUCGCGGUUAAACCUGAGUAGCUCAAAUUAAAUUGAAAGCGUAAAAGGUGGAUAGGCAAUGGGAAAUAAGGAAUUGAGGAAGGCGAGGCCAAGAAGAGGGGUGCAAUCCUUAUUUUUGAGGAAAGUGACAACCUUUCUCUAGGCUGUUUCCACGGAAUCGGUGGAGGAGACAUGGAUUAGAGACCCAUUUAUUACCGGCGAAAACUUUGCUUCUCAUCGCUGCUUGGGUACUACGAGCAUGUGCUUAAAACUCAAAGAACUUGGCGGCUUGUUAACUACCUAGGGGAAUAUGUGCCUUAAUCCGAUAGUCCUCGACAUAUUUUACUGGGCCUUGAAAAAUCAGUUGGUGUAUUGCCGUUGUCAGCCUGUUGUUGAGCAAAGAGAAACAGGCUUAAAGGAUUCUUUUAAAAAGUAGAAGAGUUCCUUGAAUUCAGGUCGUAAUACUGCCUAUGGCUCUAGGGAGUGGGUGUUACAAUUUUAAGUUGAAAUACGGACCUUUUUAUGAAAAAGAAGCGAAGGUGAACUUAGGAGUAAGGGAAGAUUAGUAUGCUCCCCUGAACGUGAAUCUAGCUUGUGUACAAACUGCCCGUCGCUCUCGGUAAGAGCUGAGAUAAGUCGUAACAAGGUAGGGGUACUGGAAGGUGCGCCCUGACAUGUGGGGUAGUGUAGUUGCACGCAGGUUUUUGGUUCCUGAAGAGAGAGGUUGUCUCUUUCCCGCAAAGUUGGCCGAAUUAGUAUAAAUAGUACGGGUGGCUUACAUUCACUAAGAAGCCUUUGGCUAUUCGGUUGGUGGUGAGGGUAUUAGUUUGGUCUGUUAGGUUCUAUGUUGUAGUUCUUCUAAGGGUUGCUUAUCUUACCUUAUUUGAGCGGAAAGUUUUAGCGGCUAGGCAAGUUCGUAAGGGCCCCGAGAUGGUUGGGUGGUUGGGGGUUUUUCAGCCCUUUGCUGAUGGGGUGAAACUUUUUAGAAAAGAGUACUUUACUCCUAGGAGAUCUAAUUCCAUUCUUUUCUUCUUAGGUCCUUGCUUAAUGCUUCUUCAUGCUUUUUUCUUGUGGGGUUGUAGGCCGGGGGUCUGGGGAGGUGGUAUUUAUUUUUUUUGGGGCGGCCUUUAUGUCUUGAGAGUUCUAAGAGUCGGGGUGUAUGGAGUGGUUCUUUGUGGUUGGGCUUCGAACUCCCGUUACGCAAUGUUUGGUGCGGUUCGUGCUCUAGCUCAGGUUAUUUCUUAUGAGGUUAUACUUGUUUUCCUAUAUCUAGCUCCCUUUUUCGUUGCUGGAAGUUUAGAUUUAGAAGCUGUAAGGAUUUCUCAGGUGAGGGGUUGCAAUGGGGGAGUCUUGUUUUUAGCUCUUCCUUGAUGGUGUUUUUGCAUUUUAGCCGAGAGAAACCGAGCCCCCUUUGAUUUUGUUGAGGGGGAAUCUGAACUUGUUUCUGGCUUUAAUGUUGAGUAUGGUAGGGGCGGCUUUGGUAUGAUUUUUAUUGCUGAAUACUCUAACAUUAUUUUUUUAAGAAGGCUUACUGGGGUGUUAUUCUUGGGAGGCGGCAAUUUGUUGGCUAAUAGAUAUUAUGGAUUCCUUAUGGGGGGCCUAAUUAGAUCUUUUAUGGGGUUUUUUAUCGUUUUUCUAGUAGUGUUAUGCCGAAGAAGAUUUCCACGGUACCGGUAUGAUUUACUUAUAAAAUUAAUUUGGUGUCAAAUUCUUCCUAUCCUAAUAAGAUUUUUUGGGGUUUUCUUAUUAGUGGUUUAGUGGAGGGUUCAAGGCGAGUAAUCUAGUGGGUAGGUCCUGAGGGGAGCGAGGUUUCGGCCUUCGCUAAGGGGAGCGAAAUUCUCCCCCCUACUCUUGAAUUGUCUAACUGUUAUAUACAAUUUAGUGUUGAUCUAAGUAAAUCAUUUUUUUGGCCUAGUACUGGUGAUAGAAAAGCCAUUGACAGUGAUAGAGAGAAGUAGCGUGAGCGAAAGACUUUAAUCAAGGUAGAAUCAGUGGUGGGCUCUCGUACCUUUUGCAUCAUGGCUUUAUGAGUGUUUAUCCCUAGGAAGAUCCCCGAAAGUUUGGCGAUCUAUUUUUUUACUGAGGUUGGCGUAAUAGGCUAUCUUUAGAUGGAAAAAUAGUGGCGAAAUACCUUUCGCGCUGACUGAUAGCUGGCUGUUUCGUAAAUAUAUUUAAGUAUAGGUUUCAUCAAGCAGGCUGGGGGAAUAAAACCCCCAGCCUUUGAUGGUAGCUCAGUCCCUUCAGGCUAAGCUGAAGGGAACAACUAAAGGUUUAUUAAUAAAAUAAAUAGAAAGUGGGCUUAAAGGAGCUAUCUUUUUAGAGUGGGUUAAUCCUCAAUAUUUUUUAUUAGUGAUCGUAUUUUAUUCCUUUUGUUUGAACGGAACCUCUUCACGAAACUAAAAUGUGAGGGUGAUAAUGUAAAGAUGAGUAGCUAAAUAUGUGGGGUUUGUUAAUUCGGGAAAUUAGACGUAAAACAAAUAAUCUUGAUAAGCAAAGCUAAAGGAACUCGGCAAAAAUGAAAACCGCCUGUUUAACAAAAACAUGGCUCCUUGAUAACAUAAGGAGUCGUGCCUUCCCGGUGAGUUCAAACUUAAACGGAUGCGGUAAAGCGUGCUAAGGUAGCUAAGUUAUGGCCUAGUUAAUUGUAGGCCCUGUGAAUGGUUUGACGAGUUUUCUUCUGUCUCUAGCUUGUUUAAGUGAACUUGAGUUGGAUGUGCAAAUGCUUCCUUGGUAAAGAAAGACGAGAAGACCCCGUGAAGUUAGAAAUUAAUGUGCAGAAUAGUGGGAGGCUACUUUUUCUGCCUUAUAGUUUUGGCUGGGGCAGCAAGGGGGCAAAAGUAGACCCCUUAAAAUUUAAUUCUGGUGAGUAAUGACCCAUAAGGUUUAAGGGUAUGAUUAGUAGAAGAAGUUACUCCGGGGAUAACAGCGUAAUCCGCCUUGACAGUCCUUAUAGAUGGGUGGGUUUGCGACCUCGAUGUUGGCUCUGGAUGUCCUGAAGCUGUAGGCGGUUUCAAGGGUUGGUUCGUUCGCCCAUUAAAAUCCAACGUGAGCUGAGUUCAGAUCGGCGAAAGCUAGGUCGGUUUCUAUCUUCUUUUUAAUGGAAAGCCUUAGGGUACGAAAGGACAUUUGGCUUCAGAGGUUCUGUAAUAGUGAUCUUGUAAUAUAAUUAUAGUAAGUGGUGCGUUGGUCUCGUUGGCUU
Molecule: ribosomal RNA, 16286 nt
Filed under: Argopecten irradians concentricus
Lineage: Eukaryota; Metazoa; Mollusca; Bivalvia; Pectinida; Pectinidae
Description: 16S ribosomal RNA
Rfam family: Bacterial large subunit ribosomal RNA (bases 15055-16198)
Source: RNAcentral